GUUGGAGUGCUGCGUGCUAUACAUGCAAGUCGUACGCUAGCCGCUGAAUUGAUCCUUCGGGUGAAGUGAGGCAAUGACUAGAGUGGCGAACUGGUGAGUAACACGUAAGAAACCUGCCCUUUAGUGGGGGAUAACAUUUGGAAACAGAUGCUAAUACCGCGUAACAACAAAUCACACAUGUGAUCUGUUUGAAAGGUCCUUUUGGAUCGCUAGAGGAUGGUCUUGCGGCGUAUUAGCUUGUUGGUAGGGUAGAAGCCUACCAAGGCAAUGAUGCGUAGCCGAGUUGAGAGACUGGCCGGCCACAUUGGGACUGAGACACUGCCCAAACUCCUACGGGAGGCUGCAGUAGGGAAUUUUCCGCAAUGCACGAAAGUGUGACGGAGCGACGCCGCGUGUGUGAUGAAGGCUUUCGGGUCGUAAAGCACUGUUGUAAGGGAAGAAUAACUGAAUUCAGAGAAAGUUUUCAGCUUGACGGUACCUUACCAGAAAGGGAUGGCUAAAUACGUGCCAGCAGCCGCGGUAAUACGUAUGUCCCGAGCGUUAUCCGGAUUUAUUGGGCGUAAAGCGAGCGCAGACGGUUUAUUAAGUCUGAUGUGAAAUCCCGAGGCCCAACCUCGGAACUGCAUUGGAAACUGAUUUACUUGAGUGCGAUAGAGGCAAGUGGAACUCCAUGUGUAGCGGUGAAAUGCGUAGAUAUGUGGAAGAACACCAGUGGCGAAAGCGGCUUGCUAGAUCGUAACUGACGUUGAGGCUCGAAAGUAUGGGUAGCAAACGGGAUUAGAUACCCCGGUAGUCCAUACCGUAAACGAUGGGGUGCUAGUUGUUAAGAGGUUUCCGCCUCCUAGUGACGUAGCAAACGCAUUAAGCACCCCGCCUGAGGAGUACGGCCGCAAGGCUAAAACUUAAAGGAAUUGACGGGGACCCGCACAAGCGGUGGAGCAUGUGGUUUAAUUCGAAAUAACGCGAAAACCUUACCAGUCUUGACAUACCCAUGAUCGCUUUGUAUGAAGCUUUUCUUCGAACAUUGAUACAGUGGUGCAUGGUCGUCUCACUCUGUUCCUGAAAUGU
RNAcentral lists this ribosomal RNA (1068 nucleotides) under Oenococcus oeni. RNAcentral describes it as "bacterial SSU rRNA". It matches the Rfam family "Bacterial small subunit ribosomal RNA", at positions 35 to 1075 of the family's 1533-position model. Lineage: Bacteria; Bacillati; Bacillota; Bacilli; Lactobacillales; Lactobacillaceae. The record is from RNAcentral.